GCCGGGCCGGGCCCCGCAGAGCGGCCGAGACGCGGCCCCGCUCACCUUCAGACAGCUCCAGCUCCAGCUCCGCCAGGCUCUCGCGCACCUCAGGUGGCAGCGGCACAGCCUCCAGCGCGCAGCCCCCGCGCUCCGCCGCCAUGGCGCGGGCGGGCGAGCAGCGAGCGGACCCCGCCGGAGCCGCCGCCCAGCGCUGCCGCAGAAAAUAGGAACUGUGACCGAGCGUGAAGUCCGGGCUCCUCCUCUCCGCCUCCCCCCCCCCAACCCAACCCACGGCGUGUCCCAGGAUAGGAUAUGGAGAUAUUCAUGCCACAGAAUUCCAGUAUGACAGCCGAGAUGUAAAGUGGUGCCUGGGACUGUAAUUAAUUAAUUAAUAAUAAAUAAAGAAGUCUUUCCUAAAGCCAA
Pipra filicauda (Wire-tailed manakin) is the source of this 405-nucleotide long non-coding RNA. RefSeq lists it as uncharacterized. The transcript is spliced from 2 exons. The record is from RefSeq and is a predicted model, not a curated record. NCBI's taxonomy places the organism in Eukaryota, Metazoa, Chordata, Aves, Passeriformes, Pipridae.